Oncorhynchus kisutch (coho salmon) is the source of this 467-nucleotide long non-coding RNA. RefSeq lists it as uncharacterized. The record is from RefSeq and is a predicted model, not a curated record. Lineage: Eukaryota; Metazoa; Chordata; Actinopteri; Salmoniformes; Salmonidae. The transcript is spliced from 3 exons.
GAGACCGCAUGGCAAAGCAAGGCACAAAUACGCAUCGCAGCCUCGUCUGGCAGAUGAGUCGCAGCGGUGCGGAUUGCCUCCCACUGAAAUGAAUUAACUUCCUCCAGACCGCAUACAAAGAAACCACAGUUGGUUUGCAGUCGGCCUGCCCUGUUCUGGUAAUGACAGCAGAGCACGCUCAACGUUUAACCUGUCUUCCAGUUCACUUUCCAUAUAGUGUAUUCUUUUCUUCUGACCUUCAAGAGACUACAGAAGUGCUUUCUUCGAUCUUUUUGGCACCAGCAUGCUGUCAGGACUCACCGGGUGAUCGGUUCCCCUUUCAGGAGAUAUGGCGUCAGGGCUAAACCCAGAGGAAGCCCCUCUGGACGAUGGAGCCAUCCCCUUGGAUAUUGAUAAUGUCCACAUGCUACUGCAAGGACAAUGACCCAAAACACACCUCCAGGCUGUGUAAGGGCUAUUUGACCAAG